ACUUAUAUAAUUUAAUAUAAAAUAUUGAUUUGUGGAAUCGAAAAUAUGAUAAAUCAUUUUAAGUA
This 65-nucleotide transfer RNA is filed under the name Pselaphinae sp. 6 EF-2015. Its description in RNAcentral is "tRNA-His". The record is from RNAcentral. Lineage: Eukaryota; Metazoa; Arthropoda; Insecta; Coleoptera; Staphylinidae.